GCCGGUGUGGCGAAAUGGCAGACGCGGCAGACUCAAAAUCUGUUUCCCGCAAGGGAGUGUUGGUUCGAGUCCGACCACCGGCACCA
This 86-nucleotide transfer RNA is filed under the name Bacillota bacterium. Its description in RNAcentral is "tRNA-Leu". It matches the Rfam family "tRNA". Rfam says of the family: Transfer RNA (tRNA) molecules are approximately 80 nucleotides in length. The record is from RNAcentral. Lineage: Bacteria; Bacillati; Bacillota.